RNAcentral lists this ribosomal RNA (155 nucleotides) under Caloplaca stillicidiorum. RNAcentral describes it as "partial 18S ribosomal RNA". The record is from RNAcentral. Lineage: Eukaryota; Fungi; Ascomycota; Lecanoromycetes; Teloschistales; Teloschistaceae.
UUCCGGGGGCAACGAUCAGCUGCUGCACGCCCGGGGCGUGCAGUUCACAGAUCAAACGCGGGUGGCCUGCGCCCGCAGGUUGAGAUAUGACCGUAGCAGCUCCGCCAGGAGCCUGGCAUGCUAGUUCCGUAGGUGAACCUGCGGAAGGAUCAUUA